This 51-nucleotide transfer RNA is filed under the name Prymnesium polylepis. Its description in RNAcentral is "partial tRNA". The record is from RNAcentral. Lineage: Eukaryota; Haptophyta; Prymnesiales; Prymnesiaceae.
UAGCUCAGUGGUUAAGGGGCUCGACUUGAAAUGCAAAGGUCCUCGGUUCGA